UUCUAUAAGCAAUGAGGUCGUACAUAUUAAAAUUAUCGCUCUGCAUGUCUUGCUUCAUUCUAAGUGUUGCCUUGCCUUCUUCAAUCAUGCCUCGUCUCAUUUCAUCAAAAAGUUUCAAAGACUCUGCAAUAGGUCUAUCCCUCCAAGGACUGUUCAUCUUCUUUUCUCUAUACUCCUUAAUCUCCUCAGGUGUCUGAUGAUCAACAUAUGCAUGACCCCUUCGUAUCAGCUCAACAGCUAAGUCAUACAGGUCUUGGAAAUAAUCACUGGUAUAAGUGAUCUUGAAGGGUUUCCACCCCAUCCACUGGACAAUCUCUUCAAUGUGAUCAAUAUACUCCUUCUUUUCAGCCUCAGGGUUUGUAUCAUCAUACCUCAGGUAGCAGCAUCCAUCUCGCUCUUUUGCCAAACCAAAGCUAACAAACAUUGCCUUUGCAUGACCAAUGUGCAGAUAUCCAUUUGGCUCAGGGGGAAAGCGAGUAAAAACUUUUCCCCCUGUUGCUUUCAGAUGUUUAUCAAGCAUUUCCUUUGUGUUGCAGCAUCUCAAAACAGACUUAUCACUGAAGAAUAUUUCAGUGUGCACCUUGAAAUUUUCCUCAGGAUUGGGAAAUAUUAGAAAUGGAUUAAGAUCUUCCUCAGAUGGCAGCACUGGAUUUUCAUCAGCAACUUUUUUAUCCUCAACUUUAGCUGGCUUUUCUUUUUUCUGCUUAGAGGGCUUCUCAUUAUCAGCUGCAGUCCUUUCACCAAGUAAUUCAAAUAAUUUUGCAUCUAUGAGUUGCUUGACAAUCUUUGGAUCAGCCCACGGAAGUCUCUUUCG
RNAcentral lists this unclassified non-coding RNA (814 nucleotides) under Hevea brasiliensis (rubber tree). Lineage: Eukaryota; Viridiplantae; Streptophyta; Magnoliopsida; Malpighiales; Euphorbiaceae. The record is from RNAcentral.